This 301-nucleotide ribosomal RNA is filed under the name uncultured bacterium. Its description in RNAcentral is "partial 16S ribosomal RNA". It matches the Rfam family "Bacterial small subunit ribosomal RNA", at positions 509 to 807 of the family's 1533-position model. The record is from RNAcentral.
CAGCAGCCACGGGAAUACGGAGGGGGCUAGCGUUGUUCGGAAUUACUGGGCGUAAAGCGCACGUAGGCGGCUUGGUAAGUUAGAGGUGAAAGCCCGGAGCUCAACUCCGGAAUUGCCUUUAAGACUGCCGAGCUAGCAGGUGAGAGAGGUAAGUGGAAUUCCGAGUGUAGAGGUGAAAUUCGUAGAUAUUCGGAAGAACACCAGUGGCGAAGACGGCUUACUGGCUCAUACUGGACGCUGAGGUGCGAAAGCGUGGGGAGCAAACAGGAUUAGAUACCCCAGUAGUCCCUGUCUCUUAUAC